Molecule: long non-coding RNA, 3308 nt
Organism: Prinia subflava (tawny-flanked prinia)
Lineage: Eukaryota; Metazoa; Chordata; Aves; Passeriformes; Cisticolidae
Exons: 3
Source: RefSeq, a predicted model, not a curated record
GCCGGCCGCAGGGCUCAGAGUAACAGGCGCGCUGAUUGGAGGAGAGCUGAGGCGGCCGUUGUCUCGGCAACCGGGUGUCCGCACUCCGGUGCCGCCGAGGGCCGGGGCUGCACCGGCGGGAACGGGCGGGGACCGGCAGGCCAUCCCAACAUGGACUCCCUCACCAAGGGAAUAACAUCUUCCUUCCAAAGGCCUCCCACCCAACAAGGAACAACGAAUUUACUCCAGAUUUAUUCCAGAGUCUGCAGCCUCAGCCACACAAACCCACCAGGGAAGCAAAGAAAACUCCUUCCAGGAGAGUGAGUGCCAUGGGCUGUGUGGAAAUCCCUCACAGCAGGGGGAUCCCAGCGUGUCCUGGUGCAGAGGCAGUGGCUGCUGUCCCCAGGAAGUGGCUGGGAGGUGGCAGUGCCCGGAGGGGCAGUGUGGGUUGGGAACAGCCUGGAGCAGUGGAUCAGGGGCCCUUUAUCAGCUGAUCUCCCAGACAUUUACAAACAGUAAUUAAACUCUGCGCCACCCUGGGAUGUGGGGGCCACUUCUUAUCCCCACUGCAUGGAGCAAGAAGCCAGAGCACACCUGACCUGGAAAAAGAUUCCCCAUUCCCCAGGCAGAGGCUUCAGGCUGGGCUGGGUUUGUGCCUGAACAGAGGAACACUGAGGAUAAAGCCCCAAAUGUGGGACCCCUGGGCAGGAAUGGUGAGGGACACUCCUGUCUGAUAACACUUGGCCAUUCCCCCAGCCCCUGCUGCAUCACAGCUGGAGAGAGGCUGGAAAAGUUCUUCCUGCCAUUCCCAGUGUUCCAUCCUGACACCGUUUCAGAGGGAUGAAAAGCCAAGAACAGAAACUCCCUUCUCCUAAGCCCUCCCAGCCCUUGGGAUCCUCAUGGGAAGACAAAUAAAUCCAUCAGCAGAUCGUUCAAAAGCAUUUUUUGUCACCACAGUGACGUUGCCUGGCCUGAGAUUAAGAUCAUCAAUAAAUUCCUGACCAUGGAAAAGAAUGAGCCCAUGAGAAAGGCCAGGGCUGUCCUUACCCAUCAGGGAAAUCUUUACUACAUGUCUCAGCAGCUGGAUCUUGUAUCAGGGCUUUGGGGAAAGGGAAGCAAUGCCAGGAGGGGUUUGAUAAGGACAGAGGGCUGGAGGAAAGGGCAAAUUAAAUCUGAGGAGGGAAGAUCCCCAGCCUGUGUUAUCAGAAAGCACACAAACACCCCACACCCCGCUGCUGGGGUUAGAGCCUGCUCCCUCUGCUGUUCCAGGCACGGGGAGAGCAGGAGGGGAUCCCAGCUGGGUCCUUUGGCAUCCCUGUCCUGUUCCAGCAGUGUCUGGGGAGGGCAGCAGCCAGGCCUCUGCAAGGCUGGGCCAUGGCAAAUGCAGGUAUUUCACAAUGAACAGCACUUCCAUUUCCCAAAGCUCUUCAUUUCCCAAAGGUUUUGGCUUAGAAGGAUUAAGCCUCACCCUCAGGGCCACACAGUAGCUCUGGAGUCCUCACUAUCAGCUCCUCGUCCAGCUUGGCUGGAUCAUAUUUUACAAUAUUAUUUUUAAAGCAGGGCACCCCCGGACAGGGCGCGUGGGUGUCCCAACAAAACACAGGAUGCUGUUUGUCCCUCACAGCCCUGCAGAGCCUCACCACACACCGAGCUCCUCAGCUGCCUGCCUGAUGAUGCAAGCAGUGAAUAAGCACGAAUAAAGACACAGAAACUGGGUGUUGUUUGUAGAAGUGAGGAGCAGAGCCCUCCACCCAGCGCUGGGGAUACCAGAGCUCUUGCACAACUCAGCUGUCAGCCUGCUGCUCCUUUUUGUGCAUCUCUCUGGGCACUUUUUCACCAGGAGCACUCGGGAAGUUUUCCUUCCUCCCCGGCUUGGGGGAGGGAGCAGCUCCCGGCCUGUGAGCAGCAGAGCUGGGAUGCCGGAGUGGGAUUCCUGCGUCAGGAUUUCCCUCAGACCCAGCCCACAUGAGCGGGCCUGUGCUGGCCUGCCAGGGCUGGCUCACGGGCAGCUCAUUAGUGCUACUCGGCUCUAAGAAUUGGAAGAUGAUCAUUAACUACAAUUGGUUUGAAAGCUUCCAGUUUUGAGAAGUUGAGUAAUUAAAGCAACCAAUGGGCUCCGCUGUGUUUCCACCUGAGAGCUCGCGGUGCUGGAGGCUGGGGAGUCACCCUGGAGGGGACUCAGCCCUGAGCAGGGCGGGAAUGAGGGAGAAGGGCAGGGGCAGCUCCUGCUGGCCCAGGGACGGGCACUGGGCUCUGUCACACACCCAGCAGAGUCCAGACACCCCCUGUGCCCCCCCUGCCAGGCCCAGCUCGGCUGAGCCUGUCUGAGCACGGAGCAGGGUCCUGGCAGCUCCCGAGGGAGCCCCUUGCAAACACUCGGGGCUUUCACACGACCUUUGGUGCUCGGGGUGAAAAUCGCCUUCACCGCUGCUAUCUCAUCUUCAAAAGGAACCGGUGGGCUCCGGGCAAGGAGUCAGGAAUGCUCUCGCAUAUUUGGGAGCUCUGCUUUACGCAACCUCCCAGCAGCUCGCCUUGGCUGCAAGGGAUGAGCGAUACUGAGCCAGUCAGCAAAACACCCACCCGGGCGGGCAGGGCCGGGGACUGCCCCGGCAGCGCCUCCCUGCUGCAGCGGCACGGCCGGGCCACCAGCCCCGGCACGGCACGGCCUCAGCCCGGCCUCAGCCCCGCACGGAAACGCGCCCGAUCUCUGCCUCACCCCACCCCUGAGACCCCUGCACUGUCACAGUGCAGACUCGGGGAGCUGCAGCCGGGCUGGGCCUGACCCUGCAAAGCCCAGGAUGGGUCUGUGGGAAAGGGAACCCAUAAAAUCCAGCGAAAUUCAUCUCUGUUCUGCUGGGAACAUAAAGGUACAGCUGAGAUGGAUUUUGCUGAUGUAAAUCAGGAGUGGUGCUGCGGGAGUCUCCAGCUGGGCUGGAGGAACUGAGGCUCAGGUGGGUAAAUGUUUAUCUGCAGGAAGUUAACGCCGAGAUCAGAGUUCAGAACAACUCACUGCGGGGUGAGAGCCCCCAAACCCCCAGCUCUGUGUGCACACAACAGCCCGGGGCUGCCUGCAGCCCUCCCCGUCUGUCCUGCACAGCAGGGCCAGCUGUCCCCACUGCCACGGCUCCCCCAGGCCAGGGGGACACCUCUGUCCCUGUCCCCAUGGCCAGGCAGGACAGCGCCACCCCGGCUGGGAUGAGCCCUGGAGCUGUCCCAGAGCAGGGUCCCCACAGCCCUGACACAGCAGGGGACAGGGGACCCACAGCUUUCGGCUGGUGACACUGAGCACUGGGGGAGUCCUGCUGGGACUGGUUUUAACUGGAGCUGAA